Molecule: ribosomal RNA, 412 nt
Filed under: uncultured microorganism
Description: bacterial SSU rRNA
Rfam family: Archaeal small subunit ribosomal RNA
Source: RNAcentral
CAGCCGCCGCGGUAAUACCAACCCCGCGAGUGGUCGGGACGUUUAUUGGGCCUAAAGCGUCCGUAGCCGGCCCGGUAAGUCCCUCCUUAAAGCCCACGGCUCAACCGUGGGAGCGGAGGGAUACUGCCGGGCUAGGGGGCGGGAGAGGCCGGGGGUACUCCUGGGGUAGGGGCGAAAUCCUAUAAUCCCAGGAGGACCACCAGUGGCGAAGGCGCCCGGCUAGCACGCGCCCGACGGUGAGGGACGAAAGCUGGGGGAGCGAACCGGAUUAGAUACCCGGGUAGUCCCGGCUGUAAACGAUGCGGGCUAGCUGUGGGGUGGGCUUAGAGCCCACCCAGUGGCGCAGGGAAGCCGUUAAGCCCGCCGCCUGGGGAGUACGGCCGCAAGGCUGAAACUUAAAGGAAUUGGCGGG